GGGAGAGGCCAUGGUCUGCUUUACCUUUCCCUUCCUUUGAAGGAGCCCACUUUAUCGUUUCCUAGCCCUGGGAUGCAAGCCCCGUAGCCCCACUGUUACCUCUGUGGGACAUGACUGUGGUUCAAUCACACUUGGGAGCAAAGGUGGCAGUAGAGAGGUGCCCUGCUACCAGGGCGGAGGGCUGCCCUUCCUAGGACAAGAAGCACCACCAGUCCCUGUUGCAAAGUAUCAUGGAGAGGGGAUCCUGGAAAAUGUUGAAGAGGGGGAGAAGGAUUCAUCGGCACAGACAGACACAUUUUUGCAGAGGCAGAUGACCAGUUCUCCACAAAGCGUCCAGAGCUUUCAUGAAAUUCCUCUGUGAGAAAAGAAUUUCAGGCUGUAAUGGAGGAGUCAGAUCUCUACUGGUUCCAGCCUUCUCAUUGACUCAAUGCUUAUGGAGCGUGCAUAUAAUGGUUUUUCC
RNAcentral lists this long non-coding RNA (460 nucleotides) under Manacus vitellinus (golden-collared manakin). RNAcentral's name for it is "lncRNA (ENSMVIG00005007227.1)". The record is from RNAcentral. Lineage: Eukaryota; Metazoa; Chordata; Aves; Passeriformes; Pipridae.